Peromyscus maniculatus bairdii (prairie deer mouse) is the source of this 375-nucleotide non-coding RNA. Lineage: Eukaryota; Metazoa; Chordata; Mammalia; Rodentia; Cricetidae. The record is from RefSeq and is a predicted model, not a curated record.
GCUGGGGGUCUGGAGGCAGAGAGAGUGCAGUGUCUUCAUCAGAGCCUGGAAAGGCAGAUUUCCUUUCCAUCCUACAAUAAAGAGACAGUGCGGCUUCAUCUUAUUGAAGGUGAAGUGUCUCUCUGGUGUACUGAAGAUCUACAGUACAUACAAUGUUUUCAACAUCUGGGUCAAUGAACAUCAGUGCGGAACCUUCUAAAACAGGAGCAGAGGUCUACUCAUUCAUGAAGGACAUCAGCCAGAGCUGGGAAUAAUGCUAUUUCCACAUGUAGGGUUCCUUCAGCAUACACAGAAGAUUGGCUCCAAAACCAAAGAUGAAGGAUGAAGAUGGGAGAUGAAGUUCACAUCCUAAUAAAGCAGGGUAUUUGCAUAUAA